RNAcentral lists this transfer RNA (90 nucleotides) under Elusimicrobiota bacterium. Its description in RNAcentral is "Elusimicrobia bacterium (groundwater metagenome) tRNA-Ser". It matches the Rfam family "tRNA". Rfam says of the family: Transfer RNA (tRNA) molecules are approximately 80 nucleotides in length. Their secondary structure includes four short double-helical elements and three loops (D, anti-codon, and T loops). Lineage: Bacteria; Pseudomonadati; Elusimicrobiota. The record is from RNAcentral.
GGAGAGGUGGCCGAGCGGUUGAUGGCGGCGGCUUGCUAAGCCGUUAUACGUCGUAAAGGCGUAUCGAGGGUUCGAAUCCCUCCCUCUCCG